Molecule: ribosomal RNA, 498 nt
Filed under: Eriphia sebana
Lineage: Eukaryota; Metazoa; Arthropoda; Malacostraca; Decapoda; Eriphiidae
Description: partial 16S ribosomal RNA
Rfam family: Archaeal large subunit ribosomal RNA
Source: RNAcentral
UUUGAAGAUAUAAUCGGUCUAGCCUGCUCACUGACAAAAAGUUGUUUAAGAGCCGCGGUAUUUUGACCGUGCAAAGGUAGCAUAAUCAUUAGUUUCUUAAUUGGGAGCUUGUAUGAAGGGUUGGACGAAAGAAUAGCUGUCUCUAUUGUAAAAAUUGAAUUUGACCUUUAAGUGAAAAGGCUUAAAUAUUUCAGGGGGACGAUAAGACCCUAUAAAGCUUUACAUAAUCAUUAAGUUUGACUGAAUUAGUAAAAUAAAUGUUUAGCUAAGUUAUUAUGUUUUAUUGGGGCGAUAUAGGUAUAAAUUUAAUUAACUGCUUAAAUAAUAUACAAUAAUAGAUGAGAAAGUAAAAGAUCCUUUUUAGAGAUUAAAAGACUAAGUUACUUUAGGGAUAACAGCGUUAUUUCUUUUGAGAGUUCCUAUCGAAAAAGAAGUUUGCGACCUCGAUGUUGAAUUAAAAUGUCUAUAUAGUGCAGCCGCUAUAAGAGAGGGUCUGUU